GACGGAGGUCCCAAGCGUUGUUCGGAAUCACUGGGCUUAAAGCGCGUGUAGGCGGAUUGGCACGUACCUUGUGAAAUCCCCUGGCUCAACCAGGGAACUGCUCGGUAUACGGCCGAUCUCGAGGCAGGUAGAGGUGCCUGGAACCUUAGGUGGAGCGGUGAAAUGCGUAGAUAUCUAAGGGAACGCCGGUGGCGAAAGCGGGGCACUGGGCCUGUCCUGACGCUAAGACGCGAAAGCGUAGGGAGCAAACGGG
This 253-nucleotide ribosomal RNA is filed under the name uncultured bacterium. Its description in RNAcentral is "partial 16S ribosomal RNA". It matches the Rfam family "Bacterial small subunit ribosomal RNA", at positions 524 to 776 of the family's 1533-position model. The record is from RNAcentral.